GUCUGAGUAUAAACUUUUAAAAAGUGAAACCGCGAAUGGCUCAUUACAUCAGUUAUGGUUCCUUAGAUCUCCGGUUUUCUACUCGGAUAACCCUGGAAAAUCUAUGGCUAAUACGUUAAAAAGUAGCUCCAACCCUUUGGGAAGGAGCGUUCUUGUUAGAUCAAAACCAAUCGGGGCUUCGGCUCCGUUUACUGGUGAAUCUAAACAAUUUUGAGCAGAUCGCACGGUCUUGUACUGGCGACGACUCUUUCAAAUAUCUGCCUUAUCAACUCGAUGGUAGGUUAUGUGCCUACCAUGGUUGUAACGGGUAACGGAAAAUCAGGGUUUGAUACCGGAGAGGGAGCCUGAGAAACGGCUACCACAUCCAAGGAAGGCAGCAGGCACGCAAAUUACCCAAUCCCGGCUCGGGGAGGUAGUGACGAAAAAUAACAAUACGGGACUCAUCCGAGGCCCCGUAAUUGGAAUGACUACAAUUUAAAUCCUUUAAGAAGGAUCCAUUGGAGGGCAAGUCUGGUGCCAGCAGCCGCGGUAAUUCCAGCUCCAAUAGCGUAUAUUAAAGUUGCUGCAGUUAAAAAGCUCGUAGUUGGAUCUCAGUUACAGUCAGGUGGUUCACUUUACAGUGCUACUGCUUGAACUGAACCUAUUGCUGGAUCUCUUGGGUGCCCUUCACUGGGUGCCCCUUGAGACCAGAACGUUUACUUUGAGAAAAUUAGAGUGCUCAAAGCAGGCGAAUGCCUGGAUACUUGUGCAUGGAAUAAUGAAAUAUGG
RNAcentral lists this ribosomal RNA (768 nucleotides) under Fabaeformiscandona subacuta. Its description in RNAcentral is "SSU rRNA". It matches the Rfam family "Eukaryotic small subunit ribosomal RNA", at positions 57 to 827 of the family's 1831-position model. The record is from RNAcentral. Lineage: Eukaryota; Metazoa; Arthropoda; Ostracoda; Podocopida; Candonidae.